This 27-nucleotide small RNA is filed under the name Bombyx mori (domestic silkworm). Its description in RNAcentral is "ovarian small RNA-37737". The record is from RNAcentral. Lineage: Eukaryota; Metazoa; Arthropoda; Insecta; Lepidoptera; Bombycidae.
UUGAUCUAAUGAGCAUGUGUCACUGUC